This 465-nucleotide ribosomal RNA is filed under the name Vreelandella stevensii. Its description in RNAcentral is "partial 16S ribosomal RNA". It matches the Rfam family "Bacterial small subunit ribosomal RNA", at positions 338 to 795 of the family's 1533-position model. The record is from RNAcentral. Lineage: Bacteria; Pseudomonadati; Pseudomonadota; Gammaproteobacteria; Oceanospirillales; Halomonadaceae.
CCUACGGGAGGCAGCAGUGGGGAAUAUUGGACAAUGGGGGGAACCCUGAUCCAGCCAUGCCGCGUGUGUGAAGAAGGCCCUCGGGUUGUAAAGCACUUUCAGUGAGGAAGAACGCCUGGUGGUUAAUACCCAUCGGGAAAGACAUCACUCACAGAAGAAGCACCGGCUAACUCCGUGCCAGCAGCCGCGGUAAUACGGAGGGUGCGAGCGUUAAUCGGAAUUACUGGGCGUAAAGCGCGCGUAGGUGGCUUGAUAAGCCGGUUGUGAAAGCCCCGGGCUCAACCUGGGAACGGCAUCCGGAACUGUCAAGCUAGAGUGCAGGAGAGGAAGGUAGAAUUCCCGGUGUAGCGGUGAAAUGCGUAGAGAUCGGGAGGAAUACCAGUGGCGAAGGCGGCCUUCUGGACUGACACUGACACUGAGGUGCGAAAGCGUGGGUAGCAAACAGGAUUAGAUACCCUUGUAGUC